CCUACGGGUGGCAGUAGUGAGGAAUAUUGGUCAAUGGGCGCGAGCCUGAACCAGCCAAGUCGCGUGAGGGAAGACGGUCCUAUGGAUUGUAAACCUCUUUUGUCAGGGAACAAAGGCGGGGACUAGUCCCCGGAUGAGGGUACCUGAAGAAAAAGCAUAGGCUAACUCCGUGCAAGCAGCAGCGGUAAUACGGAGGAUGCGAGCGUUAUCCGGAUUUAUUGGGUUUAAAGGGUGCGCAGGCGGAGGUGCAAGUCAGCGGUCAAAUUGCGGGGCUCAACCCCGUACUGCCGUUGAAACUGCAUCCCUUGAGUGCGCGAGAAGUAUGCGGAAUGCGUGGUGUAGCGGUGAAAUGCAUAGAUAUCACGCAGAACUCCGAUUGCGAAGGCAGCAUACCGGCGCGCAACUGACGCUCAUGCACGAAAGCGUGGGUAGCGAACAGGAUUAGAUACCCGUGUAGUC
This 459-nucleotide ribosomal RNA is filed under the name uncultured bacterium. RNAcentral describes it as "partial 16S ribosomal RNA". It matches the Rfam family "Bacterial small subunit ribosomal RNA", at positions 338 to 795 of the family's 1533-position model. The record is from RNAcentral.